GAAAUGCUUAGAUAUCACGAAGAANUCCGAUUGCGAAGGCAGCUUGCUGGACUGUAACUGACGCUGAGGCACGAAAGCGUGGGGAUCAAACAGGAUUAGAUACCCUGGUAGNCCACGCNNUAAACGAUGAAUGCUAGCUGUUAGCGAUAUACUGUUAGCGGCACAGAGAAAUCGUUAAGCAUUCCACCUGGGGAGUACGCCGGCAACGGUGAAACUCAAAGGAAUUGACGGGGGCCCGCACAAGCGGAGGAACAUGUGGUUUAAUUCGAUGAUACGCGAGGAACCUUACCUGGGCUUAAAUUGCAGUGGAAUAACGUGGAAACAUGUUAGCCUUCGGGCCGCUGUGAAGGUGCUGCAUGGUUGUCGUCAGCUCGUGCCGUGAGGUGUCGGCUUAAGUGCCAUAACGAGCGCAACCCUCAUCGAUAGUUACUAACAGGUUAAGCUGAGGACUCUAUCGAGACUGCCGACGUAAGUCGUGAGGAAGGUGGGGAUGACGUCAAAUCAGCACGGCCCUUACGUCCAGGGCUACACACGUGUUACAAUGGGGGGUACAAAGGGCAGCUACCUGGCGACAGGAUGCUAAUCUCAAAAACCUCUCUCAGUUCGGAUUGGAGUCUGCAACCCGACUCCAUGGAGCUGGAUUCGCUAGUAAUCGCGCAUCAGCCACGGCGCGGUGAAUACGUUCCCGGGCCUUGUACACACCGCCCGUCAAGCCAUGGGAGCCGGGGGGACCUGAAGUAUGCAACCGUAAGGAGCGUCCUAGGGUAAAACUGGUGACUGGGGCU
This 785-nucleotide ribosomal RNA is filed under the name uncultured prokaryote. RNAcentral describes it as "bacterial SSU rRNA". It matches the Rfam family "Bacterial small subunit ribosomal RNA", at positions 683 to 1482 of the family's 1533-position model. The record is from RNAcentral.